This 250-nucleotide ribosomal RNA is filed under the name uncultured bacterium. RNAcentral's name for it is "partial 16S ribosomal RNA". It matches the Rfam family "Bacterial small subunit ribosomal RNA", at positions 524 to 773 of the family's 1533-position model. The record is from RNAcentral.
UACGAAGGGGGCUAGCGUUGCUCGGAAUUACUGGGCGUAAAGGGCGCGUAGGCGGGUCGUUUAGUUAGAGGUGAAAGCCCAGGGCUCAACCCUGGAAUUGCCUUUAAUACUGGCGGCCUUGAGUGUGAGAGAGGUGUGUGGAACUCCGAGUGUAGAGGUGAAAUUCGUAGAUAUUCGGAAGAACACCAGUGGCGAAGGCGACACACUGGCUCAUUACUGACGCUGAGGCGCGAAAGCGUGGGGAGCAAAC